CCCUUAGAUGUCCGGGGCCGCACGCGCGCUACACUGAAGGAAUCAGCGUGGCUUUCUCCCUGACCCGAAAGGCUUGGGAAACCCGUUGAAUCUCCCUCGUGAUAGGGAUUGGGGCUUGAAAUUGUUCCCCAUGAACGAGGAAUUCCCAGUAAGCGCGAGUCAUAAGCUCGCGUUGAUUACGUCCCUGCCCUUUGUACACACCGCCCGUCGCUACUACCGAUUGAACGGUUUAGUGAGGGCCUCGGAUUGGUCUCGGCCCGCUCUUUACCGGGCGGCGCCGUUGGUCGAGAAGACGCUCGAACUUGAUCGUUUAGAGGAAGUAAAAGUCGUAACA
RNAcentral lists this ribosomal RNA (334 nucleotides) under uncultured eukaryote. Its description in RNAcentral is "partial 18S ribosomal RNA". It matches the Rfam family "Eukaryotic small subunit ribosomal RNA", at positions 1470 to 1796 of the family's 1831-position model. The record is from RNAcentral.